Molecule: ribosomal RNA, 465 nt
Filed under: Vreelandella stevensii
Lineage: Bacteria; Pseudomonadati; Pseudomonadota; Gammaproteobacteria; Oceanospirillales; Halomonadaceae
Description: partial 16S ribosomal RNA
Rfam family: Bacterial small subunit ribosomal RNA
Source: RNAcentral
CCUACGGGCGGCUGCAGUGGGGAAUAUUAGACAAUGGGGGCAACCCUGAUCCAGCCAUGCCGCGUGUGUGAAGAAGGCCCUCGGGUUGUAAAGCACUUUCAGUGAGGAAGAACGCCUGGUGGUUAAUACCCAUCAGGAAAGACAUCACUCACAGAAGAAGCACCGGCUAACUCCGUGCCAGCAGCCGCGGUAAUACGGAGGGUGCGAGCGUUAAUCGGAAUUACUGGGCGUAAAGCGCGCGUAGGUGGCUUGAUAAGCCGGUUGUGAAAGCCCCGGGCUCAACCUGGGAACGGCAUCCGGAACUGUCAAGCUAGAGUGCAGGAGAGGAAGGUAGAAUUCCCGGUGUAGCGGUGAAAUGCGUAGAGAUCGGGAGGAAUACCAGUGGCGAAGGCGGCCUUCUGGACUGACACUGACACUGAGGUGCGAAAGCGUGGGUAGCAAACAGGAUUAGAUACCCCGGUAGUC